This 72-nucleotide transfer RNA is filed under the name Caudoviricetes sp. RNAcentral describes it as "tRNA-Met". It matches the Rfam family "tRNA". Rfam says of the family: Transfer RNA (tRNA) molecules are approximately 80 nucleotides in length. Lineage: Duplodnaviria; Heunggongvirae; Uroviricota; Caudoviricetes. The record is from RNAcentral.
CGCAGAUUAGUAGUAAUGGUAACUCGUUGGACUCAUUAUCCAAAGUUAGAGGUUCGAAUCCUCUAUCUGCAA